Long non-coding RNA from Passer domesticus (house sparrow), 457 nucleotides. RefSeq lists it as uncharacterized. The transcript is spliced from 3 exons. Lineage: Eukaryota; Metazoa; Chordata; Aves; Passeriformes; Passeridae. The record is from RefSeq and is a predicted model, not a curated record.
CUUGGCCGCUGUGCUUGCAUGCUCUUCACCCUGCUCCUGCCCACUCUGCUUGUCAGCUUUCCUCAGUCCUGAAAGGUCCUUAGUGCCUGGAUUUUGUCAUCCAGCCCUGCAGGAUGCUCCCCUUUGUUCUGAGGAAGGCUGUCCCAGACAGAGAGGAGGAGAUGGAGGUAGAUACAAAGAUUGAUAUGGAGGAGGAGAUGGAAAUAGACGGAGAAGACGCUGGAGAGGAAGAGAUGGAUGUGUAUGUGGAUGAGGAAGAAGAGAUGGAUGUGGAUAUGGAAGAUUCCAUUGAGGACAUGGAUAUUGAUUAAAAAGGUGCGAUGGACAGCACAGACAGAGACACCAACCUUUGUAUAUAUGUUCUACAGUUUGUUGUUGUUCUUUAGAAUGUAGAUUGUAGGGCUAUUUUUGACUUCUGUAAAUACGUUUCACAUAUUUUUGUUAGGUAGGUUUUUAU